UGGUUAGAGAGGCCAUUCAAGAGGCUUGCUGGCAGAUAAAUCUACAGAAAAGGAAAGCAGAUUCAUGUUUGCCUGGUGCUGAGGUGUUGGGGGAAACAAGGAGUACUGCUAAUUGAACAAGAGGGAAGGAUCGUGUCAACUUGGAUCUGCCCACAGCUCCCUUCACCUUGGAAGACAAACAGGCCAGAGACAGGAGACACGGGGAUCCAGAUUUAUACGUGUGAAGCUGCAUUCUGUGAGUGGGGCCUCUUGAUCCACCUGGUAUUUCAGACUACAGUAAAGGCUCACGUAUAUCUUUUUACCAGAAACAGUUCAAUGACUCUUCCCAGUAUUGAAUAAAUAUUUCUUUCUAAUCUCCCGGCUUGGUCAGAUAUAAAAUUCAUUAACGUUUAGCAUCCCCUUGACUGUCUGUAUUAAACUAAGUACCAGUCGU
Long non-coding RNA from Alexandromys fortis (reed vole), 433 nucleotides. RefSeq lists it as uncharacterized. The record is from RefSeq and is a predicted model, not a curated record. Lineage: Eukaryota; Metazoa; Chordata; Mammalia; Rodentia; Cricetidae. The transcript is spliced from 3 exons.